This 582-nucleotide ribosomal RNA is filed under the name uncultured bacterium. RNAcentral's name for it is "bacterial SSU rRNA". It matches the Rfam family "Bacterial small subunit ribosomal RNA", at positions 277 to 859 of the family's 1533-position model. The record is from RNAcentral.
CGAUGUCUAGGGGUUCUGAGAGGAAGNUCCCCCACACUGGUACUGAGACACGGACCAGACUCCUACGGGAGGCAGCAGUGAGGAAUAUUGGUCAAUGGGCGAGAGCCUGAACCAGCCAUCCCGCGUGCAGGAAGAAUGCCCUAUGGGUUGUAAACUGCUUUUUCGCAUGAAGAACACCUCUGACGUGUCAGAGGCUGACGGUAAUGCGUGAAUAAGCACCGGCUAACUCCGUGCCAGCAGCCGCGGUAAUACGGAGGGUGCAAGCGUUAUCCGGAUUUAUUGGGUUUAAAGGGUGCGUAGGCGGCGAAUUAAGUCAGUGGUGAAAUCCUGCAGCUCAACUGUAGAACAGCCAUUGAAACUGAUUUGCUUGAGUAAUCUUGAGGUAGGCGGAAUGUGUAGUGUAGCGGUGAAAUGCUUAGAUAUUACACAGAACACCGAUUGCGAAGGCAGCUUACUAAGGAUUUACUGACGCUGAUGCACGAAAGCGUGGGGAUCAAACAGGAUUAGAUACCCUGGUAGUCCACGCCGUAAACGAUGAUAACUCGCUGUUGGCGAUAUACAGUCAGCGGCUUAGCGAAAGCG